RNAcentral lists this ribosomal RNA (321 nucleotides) under uncultured eukaryote. Its description in RNAcentral is "partial 18S ribosomal RNA". It matches the Rfam family "Eukaryotic small subunit ribosomal RNA", at positions 1470 to 1796 of the family's 1831-position model. The record is from RNAcentral.
CCCUUAGAUGUUCUGGGCUGCACGCGCGCUACACUGAAGCGUUCAACGAGUAUUCACCUUGCCCGGGAGGGUUGGGUAAUCUUUUGAAAACGCUUCGUGAUGGGGAUAGAUUAUUGCAAUUAUUAAUCUUCAACGAGGAAUUCCUAGUAAGCGAGAGUCAUCAGCUCGUGCUGAUUACGUCCCUGCCCUUUGUACACACCGCCCGUCGCUCCUACCGAUUGAAUGGUCCGGUGAAAUCUCGGGACGGCGGCUCGGGCGCUUGCGUCCGACUGCUGAAACUUGAUUAAACCAUAUCAUUUAGAGGAAGGUGAAGUCGUAACA